RNAcentral lists this ribosomal RNA (450 nucleotides) under uncultured bacterium. RNAcentral's name for it is "partial 16S ribosomal RNA". It matches the Rfam family "Bacterial small subunit ribosomal RNA", at positions 338 to 795 of the family's 1533-position model. The record is from RNAcentral.
CCUACGGGGGGCUGCAGUGAGGAAUAUUGGUCAAUGGACGCAAGUCUGAACCAGCCAUGCCGCGUGAAGGAUGAAGGCCUUCUGGGUUGUAAACUUCUUUUAUUGGGGAAGAAAAUUAUGGUUUCUACUAUAACCGACGGUACCCAAGGAAUCAGCACCGGCUAACUCCGUGCCAGCAGCCGCGGUAAUACGGAGGGUGCAAGCGUUAUCCGGAUUCACUGGGUUUAAGGGGGGCUUAUAAGUGAGUGGUGAAAUCUCCGGGCUCAACCCGGAAACUGCCAUUGAUACUAUCAGUCUUGAAUAUCGUUGAGGUAGGCGGAAUAUAUCAUGUAGCGGUGAAAUGCAUAGAUAUGAUAUAGAACACCGAUUGCGAAGGCAGCUUACUAAACGAUUAUUGACGCUGAGGCACGAAAGCGUGGGGAUCAAACAGGAUUAGAUACCCCAGUAGUC